This 433-nucleotide ribosomal RNA is filed under the name uncultured bacterium. Its description in RNAcentral is "partial 16S ribosomal RNA". It matches the Rfam family "Bacterial small subunit ribosomal RNA", at positions 29 to 507 of the family's 1533-position model. The record is from RNAcentral.
AACGAACGCUGGCGGCAUGCCUAACACAUGCAAGUCGAACGAGACCUUCGGGUCUAGUGGCGCACGGGUGCGUAACGCGUGGGAACCUGCCCUUAGGUUCGGAAUAACUCCCCGAAAGGGGUGCUAAUACCGGAUAAUGUCUUCGGACCAAAGAUUUAUCGCCUUUGGAUGGGCCCGCGUUGGAUUAGCUAGUUGGUAGGGUAAAAGCCUACCAAGGCGACGAUCCAUAGCUGGUCUGAGAGGAUGAUCAGCCACACUGGGACUGAGACACAGCCCAGACUCCUACGGGAGGCAGCAGUGGGGAAUAUUGGACAAUGGGCUAAAGCCUGAUCCAGCAAUGCCGCGUGAGUGAUGAAGGCCUUAGGGUUGUAAAGCUCUUUUACCCGGGAUGAUAAUGACAGUACCGGGAGAAUAAGCUCCGGCUAACUCCGUG